This 618-nucleotide ribosomal RNA is filed under the name Triticum aestivum (bread wheat). RNAcentral describes it as "partial small subunit ribosomal RNA". Lineage: Eukaryota; Viridiplantae; Streptophyta; Magnoliopsida; Poales; Poaceae. The record is from RNAcentral.
AUGGAGUAUUCAGAUACAGUAAAGUAUCAUGGAGUUCCUCAAGAUGUUAUCAAGUGCAUGCUGUUCACAUUCUCUCUCCGAGAUGAUGCUCGUGCUUGGUAUCGAUCCUUGCCAUCAAGAUCAUUCGGUUGGAAUGAGAUAUCACGAGCUUUCUUGGAUAGAUAUUUCCCACUACACAUGCAGUCUGCGAUUCGAGAUGAGAUCUUCAAUUUUGUUCAGCGUGAAUACGAGAGCUUGUAUGAUGCUUGGGAGAGAUACAAGGCUUUAUUCAGGAGAUGUCCUAACCACGGGCUCGAGAGAUGGUUAGAGUUGCAGAUAUUCUAUAGAGGAUUGACUUCGGACACUCGAGCUUACGUCGAUAUGGCAGCGGGUGGAGCUAUUACAAACAAGACACUUGAUGAAGCUUUUCUGUUGAUUGAGAGCAUAGCUUUCCACCAACUUCAGUGGUACAAUAAGAAGCCCAGGUCUUAUUCAUUGGUUUGCUUGCAACAAAUCACUACACCUCAGCCACAAAUUCUUACACAGAAGUCGGAACCAGUUUCUUCGUGUAACAAGAUUGAGCUUUCAUGGAUUAUCUUUGAUGAUGAUGACACCAUCGUAGUUGACACACACACUUAA